ACUUUCAGCAACGGAUCUCUUGGCUCUCGCAUCGAUGAAGAACGCAUCGAAUUGCGAUAAGUAAUGUGAAUUGCAGAUUUUCAGUGAAUCAUCGAAUCUUUGAACGCACCUUGCGCUCCUUGGUAUUCCGAGGAGCAUGCCUGUUUGAGUGUCA
RNAcentral lists this ribosomal RNA (154 nucleotides) under Butyriboletus primiregius. RNAcentral's name for it is "5.8S ribosomal RNA". It matches the Rfam family "5.8S ribosomal RNA". From Rfam's summary of the family: 5.8S ribosomal RNA (5.8S rRNA) is a component of the large subunit of the eukaryotic ribosome. It is transcribed by RNA polymerase I as part of the 45S precursor that also contains 18S and 28S rRNA. Functionally, it is thought that 5.8S rRNA may be involved in ribosome translocation. The record is from RNAcentral. Lineage: Eukaryota; Fungi; Basidiomycota; Agaricomycetes; Boletales; Boletaceae.